CCUACGCGAGGCAGCAGUGGGGAAUAUUGCGCAAUGGGCGAAAGCCUGACGCAGCGACGCCGCGUGAGGGAUGCAGGUCUUCGGAUCGUAAACCUCUGUCUUCAGGGACGAUAAUGACGGUACCUGAGGAGGAAGCCACGGCUAACUACGUGCCAGCAGCCGCGGUAAUACGUAGGUGGCGAGCGUUGUCCGGAUUUACUGGGCGUAAAGGGAGCGUAGGCGGACUUUUAAGUGAGAUGUGAAAUACUCGGGCUCAACUUGAGUGCUGCAUUUCAAACUGGAAGUCUAGAGUGCAGGAGAGGAGAAUGGAAUUCCUAGGGUAGCGGUGAAAUGCGUAGAGAUUAGGAAGAACACCAGUGGCGAAGGCGAUUCUCUGGACUGUAACUGACGCUGAGGCUCGAAAGCGUGGGGAGCAAACAGGAUUAGAUACCCUGGUAGUC
This 440-nucleotide ribosomal RNA is filed under the name uncultured bacterium. RNAcentral's name for it is "partial 16S ribosomal RNA". It matches the Rfam family "Bacterial small subunit ribosomal RNA", at positions 338 to 795 of the family's 1533-position model. The record is from RNAcentral.